CCUUUUGUAUAAUGGGUCAGCGACUUAUAUUCUGUAGCAAGGUUAACCGAAUAGGGGAGCCGGAGGGAAACCGAGUCUUAACCGGGCGUUAAGUUGCAGGGUAUAGACCCGAAACCCGGUGAUCUAGCCAUGGGCAGGUUGAAGGUUGGGUAACACUAACUGGAGGACCGAACCGACUAAUGUUGAAAAAUUAGCGGAUGACCUGUGGCUGGGGGUGAAAGGCCAAUCAAACCGGGAGAUAGCUGGUUCUCCCCGAAAGCUAUUUAGGUAGCGCCUCGUGAAUUCAUCUCCGGGGGUAGAGCACUGUUUCGGCUAGGGGGCCAUCCCGGCUUACCAACCCGAUGCAAACUGCGAAUACCGGAGAAUGUUAUCACGGGAGACACACGGCGGGUGCUAACGUCCGUCGUGAAGAGGGAAACAACCCAGACCGCCAGCUAAGGUCCCAAAGUCAUGGUUAAGUGGGAAACGAUGUGGGAAGGCCCAGACAGCCAGGAUGUUGGCUUAGAAGCAGCCAUCAUUUAAAGAAAGCGUAAUAGCUCACUGGUCGAGUCGGCCUGCGCGGAAGAUGUAACGGGGCUAAACCAUGCACCGAAGCUGCGGCAGCGACACUCAGGUGUCGUUGGGUAGGGGAGCGUUCUGUAAGCCUGCGAAGGUGGCCUGUGAGGGUUGCUGGAGGUAUCAGAAGUGCGAAUGCUGACAUAAGUAACGAUAAAGCGGGUGAAAAGCCCGCUCGCCGGAAGACCAAGGGUUCCUGUCCAACGUUAAUCGGGGCAGGGUGAGUCGACCCCUAAGGCGAGGCCGAAAGGCGUAGUCGAUGGGAAACGGGUUAAUAUUCCCGUACUUGGUGUUACUGCGAAGGGGGGACGGAGAAGGCUAUGUUGGCCGGGCGACGGUUGUCCCGGUUUAAGCGUGUAGGUGUGUGUUCCAGGUAAAUCCGGUUCACUUUAACACUGAGGCGUGACGACGAGGCACUACGGUGCUGAAGCAACAAAUGCCCUGCUUCCAGGAAAAGCCUCUAAGCAUCAGGUAACAUCAAAUCGUACCCCAAACCGACACAGGUGGUCAGGUAGAGAAUACCAAGGCGCUUGAGAGAACUCGGGUGAAGGAACUAGGCAAAAUGGUGCCGUAACU
This 1131-nucleotide ribosomal RNA is filed under the name Salmonella enterica subsp. enterica serovar Pomona. RNAcentral describes it as "partial 23S ribosomal RNA". It matches the Rfam family "Bacterial large subunit ribosomal RNA", at positions 604 to 1735 of the family's 2925-position model. The record is from RNAcentral. Lineage: Bacteria; Pseudomonadati; Pseudomonadota; Gammaproteobacteria; Enterobacterales; Enterobacteriaceae.